AUUGGCGGGACGAAGGGAACCGCUGAUAGAUAUCGAGUGGAAACACAGAAAGUACAAAAUGAAACAAACAUAUGGUUAGAGUUAAAAUUUUCUGGUAGCAGUAGCAGAGGAGGACGGGGUGCGCCGCGGCCGUGAGGAGUCUACCUGCAACACACGCACGUGCACGGCGUCCUGGACAGACUGAAAUAACACUGCUGAUCUUCGUCAGCAUCUUGUUGAUGGCCUGUUUGACAUGUGUGGUGGAGCUGCGGCGCCUGGCCUUGCCCUGCACGGCCUUCCGGCGCCUCACCUCGCGGCAGAGCUCGUGAAAAGCCUCGGCCACCAC
Long non-coding RNA from Platichthys flesus (European flounder), 325 nucleotides. RefSeq lists it as uncharacterized. The transcript has 3 exons. Lineage: Eukaryota; Metazoa; Chordata; Actinopteri; Pleuronectiformes; Pleuronectidae. The record is from RefSeq and is a predicted model, not a curated record.